Molecule: ribosomal RNA, 702 nt
Filed under: Streptococcus iniae
Lineage: Bacteria; Bacillati; Bacillota; Bacilli; Lactobacillales; Streptococcaceae
Description: bacterial SSU rRNA
Rfam family: Bacterial small subunit ribosomal RNA
Source: RNAcentral
AGUAGACGCUGAGGAUUGGUGCUUGCACUAAUCCAAGGAGUUGCGAACGGGUGAGUAACGCGUAGGUAACCUACCUCAUAGCGGGGGAUAACUAUUGGAAACGAUAGCUAAUACCGCAUGACACUAGAGUACACAUGUACUCAAGUUAAAAGGAGCAAUUGCUUCACUAUGAGAUGGACCUGCGUUGUAUUAGCUAGUUGGUGAGGUAAAGGCUCACCAAGGCGACGAUACAUAGCCGACCUGAGAGGGUGAUCGGCCACACUGGGACUGAGACACGGCCCAGACUCCUACGGGAGGCAGCAGUAGGGAAUCUUCGGCAAUGGACGGAAGUCUGACCGAGCAACGCCGCGUGAGUGAAGAAGGUUUUCGGAUCGUAAAGCUCUGUUGUUAGAGAAGAACGGUAAUGGGAGUGGAAAAUCCAUUACGUGACGGUAACUAACCAGAAAGGGACGGCUAACUACGUGCCAGCAGCCGCGGUAAUACGUAGGUCUCGAGCGUUGUCCGGAUUUAUUGGGCGUAAAGCGAGCGCAGGCGGUUCUAUAAGUCUGAAGUAAAAGGCAGUGGCUCAACCAUUGUAUGCUUUGGAAACUGUAGAACUUGAGUGCAGAAGGGGAGAGUGGAAUUCCAUGUGUAGCGGUGAAAUGCGUAGAUAUAUGGAGGAACACCGGUGGCGAAAGCGGCUCUCUGGUCUGUAACUGACGC